This 1259-nucleotide ribosomal RNA is filed under the name uncultured bacterium. RNAcentral's name for it is "bacterial SSU rRNA". It matches the Rfam family "Bacterial small subunit ribosomal RNA", at positions 246 to 1482 of the family's 1533-position model. The record is from RNAcentral.
UUGUUGGUGGGGUAAUGGCCUACCAAGACGAAGAUGGUUAGCCGGCCUGAGAGGGUGAACGGCCACAUUGGGACUGAGAUACGGCCCAGACUCCUACGGGAGGCAGCAGUGGGGAAUUUUGCACAAUGGGCGCAAGCCUGAUGCAGCGACGCCGCGUGGAGGAUGACGGUUUUCGGAUUGUAAACUCCUGUUGUACGGGAAGAAAGACUGAUACCUAAUACGUAUCGGGGAUAGACCGGUACCGUAAGAGAAAGCACCGGCAAACUUCGUGCCAGCAGCCGCGGUAAUACGAAGGGUGCAAGCGUUAUUCGGAGUUACUGGGCGUAAAGAGCAUGUAGGCGGUCUUUUAAGUUAUCUGUUAAAUCUCCCAGCCUAACUGGGAACAUGCGGGUGAUACUGGGAAGGCUAGAAGUGUAAGAGAGAGAAGUGGAAUUCUCGGAGUAGCGGUAAAAUGCGUAGAUCUCGAGAGGAACACCGGGAGGCGAAGGCGGCUUCUUGGCUUACAACUGACGCUCAAGUGCGAAAGCGUGGGGAGCAAACAGGAUUAGAUACCCUGGUAGUCCACGCCGUAAACGAUGAUCACUAGAUGUGGGCUUUGCAUAGCGAGGCCUGUGUCGUAGCUAACGCGUUAAGUGAUCCGCCUGGGGAGUACGGUCGCAAGAUUAAAACUCAAAGAAAUUGACGGGGGUCCGCACAAGCGGUGGAACAUGUGGUUUAAUUCGACACUACGCGAGGAACCUUACCUAGGCUUGACAUGUAAUUGCUACCAGCAGAAACGUUGGGUUCUGUAGAAAUACAGACGGUUACACAGGUGCUGCAUGGCUGUCGUCAGCUCGUGUCGUGAGAUGUUGGGUUAAGUCCUUUAACGAGCGCAACCCUUGCCGUCAGUUGCUACUCUGGAAACAGAGGCACUCUGGUGGGACUGCCGAGGAAACUCGGAGGAAGGUGGGGAUGACGUCAAGUCCUCAUGGCCCUUAUGUCUAGGGCUACACACGUGUUACAAUGGCGAGAUACAAAGAGAAGCAAAGCUGCGAAGCGAAGCAAAUCUCGUAAAACUCGUCUCAGUUCGGAUUGAAGUCUGCAAUUCGACUUCAUGAAGUUGAAAUCGCUAGUAAUCGCGUAUCAGAACGACGCGGUGAAUACGUUCUCGGACCUUGUACACACCGCCCGUCACACCACGAAAGCCGUCGGCACCCGAAAUCGUUUUAGCUAACCUGAAAGGGAGGCGGAUGAUGAAGGUGAAGAGGGUGAUUGGGGUG